This 827-nucleotide ribosomal RNA is filed under the name marine metagenome. RNAcentral's name for it is "bacterial SSU rRNA". It matches the Rfam family "Bacterial small subunit ribosomal RNA", at positions 57 to 892 of the family's 1533-position model. The record is from RNAcentral.
GCAAGUCGAGCGAAGAACAAUAAAGCUUGCUUUAUUGUUACUGAGCGGCGAACGGGUGAGUAAUACUUGGAUAAUCUGCCUUUAGGACUGGGAUAACCUCAGGAAACUGAAACUAAUACCAGAUAUGACCACAGGCACUAAGGUGCUAGUGAUAAAAUGUUUUUUCGCCUAAAGAUGAGUCCAAGUCGCAUCAGGUUGUUGGUGGGGUAAAGGCCUACCAAGCCUAUGACGCGUAGCAGGUCUUAGCGGAUGAUCUGCCACAUGGGGACUGAGAUACGGCCCUGACUCCUACGGGAGGCAGCAGUGAGGAAUAUUGGGCAAUGGACGCAAGUCUGACCCAGCGAUGUCGCGUGAAGGAUGAAGGCCCUAGGGUUGUAAACUUCUGUCAGCAGGGAAGAUAAUGACGGUACCUGCAGAGGAAGCCCCGGCUAACUCCGUGCCAGCAGCCGCGGUAAUACGGAGGGGGCAAACGUUACUCGGAUUUACUGGGCGUAAAGGGUUCGUAGGCGGUUAUUUAAGUUAGAUGUGAAAGCUUGAAGCUUAACUUCAAAAUAGCAUCUAAAACUGGAUUACUAGAUUCUUGGAGAGGUUGAUGGAAUUACCGGUGUAGCGGUGAAAUGCGUAGAUAUCGGUAGGAACACCAGUGGCGAAAGCGAUCAACUGGCCAAGUUAUGACGCUGAGGGACGAAAGCGUGGGUAGCAAACAGGAUUAGAUACCCUGGUAGUCCACGCUGUAAACGAUGAGUACUAGCUGUUGGAUCUGGUGUAAGAGGUUUAGUGGCGCAGCUAACGCGAUAAGUACUCCGCCUGGGGACUACGGCCGCAAG